GAACGCACCUUGCACCCUUUGGCAUUCCGAAGGGUAUGCUCGUUUGAGUGUCAUUGUACUCUCACACUCCCAAUGCUUUUGGAUUGGGAGCGGUGGACUUGGGUGUUGCUGCUUUACAGUGGCUCGCCUCAAAUGGAGUAGUGCAACUCUCGGUUGGACAUAGUACGGCGUGAUAAGUGUCUUCGCCGGCGCCUCACUAGAGGGUGGCUGAUCAGGAGCUCUGUGCUUCAAAUCGUCUUCGGACAAUCUUUGACAACUUGACCUCAAAUCGAGUAGGACUACCCGCUGAACUUA
RNAcentral lists this unclassified non-coding RNA (294 nucleotides) under uncultured Sebacina. Its description in RNAcentral is "sequence contains 5.8S rRNA gene". The record is from RNAcentral. Lineage: Eukaryota; Fungi; Basidiomycota; Agaricomycetes; Sebacinales; Sebacinaceae.